CGAACUUGUAAGAUGAUCCAAGUAGCCGAACAUUACAAUAAGAUCCACACGCGGAUGAUAUGAUGGCGGUUCUCCACAUAACAUCAUCAAAAACUUCCACAACAUCAUCAGACACCCAACUAUCCACUCUUUGUACAGGAGGAGGAGGUCUGACAAGCUCUUCAUGUACCCUAUCAGUAGCUUCCCCAUGCUCCGGGACAUAAUGAUCAUAUCUGACAGUGUAACUAUGCCCUUUACCAGAGAUAAUUUCCCCGCCACACCAUGCAGUCAAUGAAUCCACUUCCUUCAGCACCUCCACCUUGCUCCCUGGUUUGAAUCUCAUGAUGAGUAUGAAUUGAGUCUCACAAAUCUGCCAAAGUCAUGUUGUUAGAAUUUCUCUUCCAAAUAUAAAUCCACUCAUAAGAAAUCACAAUAUUGAUAAGCACUAAGCAGAGAAAUUAUAUUUCAUUUAAAAUUUACUAUCAGUUUCUCACGAUAAUACACAAUGUUCAAAACGUGACAUCAAGAACCACUAUCUAGAAGUAAAAACUAACAUGUACGAAAAAGAUCAAUUAUUUAAUCAAUUCCAAGGAAACUGCUAAUAACUUGAAAAAACAACAUAUCCAUUAAUUUACAUAGAAACAAUAUCUAAGGCACGACAUAUCGACUUAAUGACAGUUGACUUAAUUCCAACUCUCCAGAAUUCGCCCAUCCCUGUAAACAAAUUGAGAACAUAUAGGUUAGAUAAACAAAAAACUAAAGCUGCAUUUUGUCAGAAACAGGAAGGUAAUUAGACAACAAACAAAGAUGGUGAAACAAUGACCAACAGAAUACAUGAUACACUUAAAAUAUUUUUUGUACUUAGAUAUAAUCAGGAUAUCAGGUAAUUUAGUACUACUUUAAAUAGAAAUCAAAAUGCACACUUUUGCUAGAAAUAUUUCAGUUCUGCCUAAAAAAAUAGGACCAGAUAGAAAGCAAAAUGCAAACAUUAGCUCAAUUUAGAAUGAUGAACACCAAUAGAAAACAAAAUUCAAUAACUACGUCAAUGAGAUACUUUGUUUAAAGGUCACAUGCACAAAUCUUUUAAGUCAAGGACAUAACAUUCAUUAUGCAGUAAAACAAAUUCAAUCUCAAAAGACCCAUAAAUUGUGUUAAUAAAGAACUAAAUACUUUCUAGACAUACUUGCUGAAACUGAUAAUAGAUAUUACCUUGCCCAUCAAAAGCCAUUUAUCAUUUUUCCAAGACUGUCUAAGCCGGAUAUUUGAUAUGUGUACUCCGAACUUGUAAGAUGAUCCAAGUAGCCGAACAUUACAAUAAGAUCCACACGCGGAUGAUAUGAUGGCGGUUCUCCACAUAACAUCAUCAAAAACUUCCACAACAUCAUCAGACACCCAACUAUCCACUCUUUGUACAGGAGGAGGAGGUCUGACAAGCUCUUCAUGUACCCUAUCAGUAGCUUCCCCAUGCUCCGGGACAUAAUGAUCAUAUCUGACAGUGUAACUAUGCCCUUUACCAGAGAUAAUUUCCCCGCCACACCAUGCAGUCAAUGAAUCCACUUCCUUCAGCACCUCC
RNAcentral lists this long non-coding RNA (1552 nucleotides) under Daucus carota (carrot). RNAcentral describes it as "long non-coding RNA (DCAR_LNC004056)". The record is from RNAcentral. Lineage: Eukaryota; Viridiplantae; Streptophyta; Magnoliopsida; Apiales; Apiaceae.